Long non-coding RNA from Oncorhynchus keta (chum salmon), 400 nucleotides. RefSeq lists it as uncharacterized. The transcript has 4 exons. NCBI's taxonomy places the organism in Eukaryota, Metazoa, Chordata, Actinopteri, Salmoniformes, Salmonidae. The record is from RefSeq and is a predicted model, not a curated record.
UUACAAGCUGGACGAAGGGCACCCAAUCAGGAUGGUACAAAAACUGACGGACAAACACAUUAAUCUGCCACCCUACACAAACAUGCGAGUGAAGCUGGCAACACAGGUGUUUAGCCACACUGUCUCUGCAGGAAUGCAAACGAUGUGGCAGCUAGGAAACUGCCUAAGGAGGUGGAAUGCACAGCCCUGUUCCCGGAAAAAAUGAACAAGUUGUUUGAUGUUCUGAACUCAAGAUCUUGCUGGGAUAGAAAUUCAUGGAAGAGGGCUCUCAGACAAGAGAACAGCUUAAAGCUGGAUUUCCUUCGGAAGCAAUUUACAUGCAGCAAGUGUAGAAAAGGACAGACUAGAGGAAAAACAGCGAGCUGCAUGCAAAUAACCUUCUAAGGAUGGAGAAGAGUGG